RNAcentral lists this ribosomal RNA (433 nucleotides) under Streptococcus mitis. Its description in RNAcentral is "bacterial SSU rRNA". It matches the Rfam family "Bacterial small subunit ribosomal RNA", at positions 38 to 464 of the family's 1533-position model. The record is from RNAcentral. Lineage: Bacteria; Bacillati; Bacillota; Bacilli; Lactobacillales; Streptococcaceae.
GGCGGCGUGCCUAAUACAUGCAAGUAGAACGCUGAAGGAGGAGCUUGCUUCUCUGGAUGAGUUGCGAACGGGUGAGUAACGCGUAGGUAACCUGCCUAGUAGCGGGGGAUAACUAUUGGAAACGAUAGCUAAUACCGCAUAAGAGUAGAUGUUGCAUGACAUUUGCUUAAAAGGUGCAAUUGCAUCACUACCAGAUGGACCUGCGUUGUAUUAGCUAGUUGGUGAGGUAACGGCUCACCAAGGCGACGAUACAUAGCCGACCUGAGAGGGUGAUCGGCCACACUGGGACUGAGACACGGCCCAGACUCCUACGGGAGGCAGCAGUAGGGAAUCUUGGCAAUGGACGGAAGUCUGACCGAGCAACGCCGCGUGAGUGAAGAAGGUUUUCGGAUCGUAGAGCUCUGUUGUAAGAGAAGAACGAGUGUGAGAGUGA